Long non-coding RNA from Phyllopteryx taeniolatus (common seadragon), 2844 nucleotides. RefSeq lists it as uncharacterized. The record is from RefSeq and is a predicted model, not a curated record. The transcript has 2 exons. Lineage: Eukaryota; Metazoa; Chordata; Actinopteri; Syngnathiformes; Syngnathidae.
GAAUGUCUAUGUCGACUUCAUGGCUUCAGGGACACUGGACUUUUAAGAAUAGUCCAAUGGCUGAGAGACCAGUUGGGAAGAUCCAACUUGAGAAGGCCCUUAACAAACAAGAACAAGUCCAGUAGUUUGAUCCGUGAAGUGGAUAUGUUAGAGACAGGCACUUGACGUGACAUGAUCAAUAUAAAAAAAAAAUUACCUCCCAGUUUGGAAGUUUUGGGAAAAGGAGGAUGCAGGUGAUCACCGGACACAUUGAAAGAUUUUCUGGGUGAAUCAAGUUCGAUCUGUGGUGGUCCUACUUAGUAACUAAGCCACGUUUCCACCAAGUUGGGCUCAUUUUAGUUGUGGUCACAGUUUUGCAAAAGGACUCAAGAUAGUCCACCUGCUCCUGCUUUUGUACCAUUUUGUUGAAGUUGUUGGGCAUCCUCGAUUGUUGGCCUCCUUCUAGCCAGUAUGUACACAACACUGAUGUUGGAAACAAGGAUUUCAGAGGAUUUUCGAGACAAACAAAGUCCGAUCUACUUUGUCAAGAAGUAGGGCUCACUUCAGUUGGGUACACUUCGUAAUUUUACAGCGUUUCCAUUGCAAAAAUUCCCACAAUUUCCCCCAAAUAUGGGUGUAAUGGUACAUGUAUUAGUAUUUUAUGGCCUGAUGAAGCUUCUAGGUGAGGGGCAGAAAGUGUACCUGCAUCGCACUCUAGGUUCAUGUGUACUCCAUGAACAAACAAAGUGCAGCUCAGCUUCUGGCUGGCAGAUAUUAUGGCUAGCGAUAUGCUUUUGACAAAGCUAUAAAAAUUGUCAUUAGUGUUUUCAUAGUACAAUGUAUAAUAAUUCUGUUAGAACUGUUAUAGUUGCAUUUAUCUUCAUCAUUCAUUUCCUGAACAGACGACAAACUAAUGAUGCUGGACGUUCAUAAAAUGUUUAAAUAGUUAAGCCUUUAUAUGUUUAUUUUUCAUACUGUUGUAUACAUGAAUUAAGAAUCUUAAAUUUAUUGGAGAAUUUACUUCUAGCCUAUGUUUAAUUUUAACACGAUGGGCGACUGGUUAGCACAUCUGCCUCACAGUUCUGAGGACCGGGGUUCAAAUCUGGCCUCGCCUGUGUGGAGUUUGCAUGUUCUCCCUGUGCCUGCGUGGGUUUUCUUCGGGUACCUCGCGGGUUUCCUCCCACAUUCCAAAAACAUCCAUGGUAGGUUAAUUGAUGACUCUAAGUGUGAAUGUGAGUGCGGAUGGUUGUUUGUUUAUAUGUGCCCUGCGAUUGGCUGGCGACCAGUUCAGGUUGUACCCUGCCUCUCGCCCAGAGUCAGCUAGGAUAGGCUCCAGCUCACCCCUGACCCUAGUGAGGAUACGCAGUACAGAAAAUGUAUGAAUGGAUGGAAAAAAGUUUUAAUACGACAAAAAAAGUUGUGACGUUACAAGAAAAAAGUUGCAAAGAUAUGACAAAAAAAGUCAUAAAGGUAUGUCAAGAAAGUCAUUAAAAAAAGGGUCUGGAAGUUGUCACCCCUACAUCUACACCACUCAGUUUUUCCCCACGCCACCCAUUCAUUGUGUCGAAUCAGGAUUCACACCCUCACCAAACCGUUCCGUAGCCAACCGAACUGAACCAAACCACUUGGUGGAAACGUGGGUUGAGAUGAUUUUGGAACAUUUCAACUUUUGUUGGAUGCAACAACCAUUUUCCAUAGAUCCUGAGAUUAAAUAUUAAACAUAACAUUAAACAUAAUUACAUUGGGGCUUUUUGGUCAUGUCUUUAAUGUCACAUUCCUUUGGAAUGUUUGAAUGGCAAUGAGGAGGAUUUCAACUAAAAGUUAAGAUAAAAGUUUUAAAAAAAUGCUAUUCAAGGUACAUAACCAGGUCUUGACCUAUGUGCUUGAUAAGAAGCAGACCAAAUAACUGACAAGUGAGUCCAAGGUACGAUGGGAACGCUUGCACAUGCACUUGCGUCAGAAUUUCCCCCCUAAAAUCCGACAGAUGGAUCACACCUGGUGAGCGCAACGGUUCAGAUGGUCAGCAGAGAUUUUUUGGGGGUUUUUUUUCAAACGUGGGAGAUACCACCAUGAUUGGGUGAAAGUUUAAACCUGACUUUGGCUCCAGGGUUUCGGGUAGCAGGAACCAUCCCCUUGUUGGUAUCCUAUGACGGCGUGGGGUCAUAAAUCACACCGGUGGACCUUUUCAUUGCUGUCUCUCUCAUAUUUGAGCUCUGCCUCAAGAGGAGGGGGAUCAAGAGGGACGAAGGGGGUCUUGGCCUGGUGGGAAACCUGAGCAGGACGUCAGAGAGGGGGCAGGGAGGAAAGGGGUUAUGUUGAAUUGAAGCAAGAAGAAGACAAGUUUUGUCAGCAUUUGGUCAAGAGUUGAGCAGCUCGGAAGCCGACAGUAGCAACCAACCAGAGUAAUCCCAAUGUUUGUUUUCACCUGCUCGGAGCGCCCAAGACGAGGAUUUACUGACCUCCGUCCUCAUGAAAGCCACUGACCUCGCCCUGCACUCCAACGCACUUUUGGGGUUUGGCCGCUCCCCAUUUAAGGCCGGUUGGGCUGCCAGCGCAAGGGAACGCGUUGCGAAUCGGCGCCACGCUGGUCCAGACCUCCCCAGAGGAUUCGCUCCACGACAAAACCGCUGAAGGAUCCCCACGUGACUUGUAGAGUGUAAUUUUGCAUGGGCAUUUAUCGUGAAGAACAAGAAAAUAGUUUUUGAGAGAAAAAAAGACAAUUUUAUGUAGGAAAAAAGGCCUAUUUUUGGAGAAAAUGUCAGAAUAUUAUGGGAUUUUUUUAAAAUGUAAAGUUACUUGAAAAACAGUUGUAGUUUUUGAGAAAAAGACAAAAUAUUUCGAGAAUAAAAGGUAUUUUGGAUUGCA